This is a long non-coding RNA of Mustela lutreola (European mink), 5934 nucleotides long. RefSeq lists it as uncharacterized. NCBI's taxonomy places the organism in Eukaryota, Metazoa, Chordata, Mammalia, Carnivora, Mustelidae. The transcript is spliced from 2 exons. The record is from RefSeq and is a predicted model, not a curated record.
GCAGGCUCCCCUCUGGACAGAGAGCCCAAUGCAGGGCUCAAUCCCAGGACCCUGGGAUCAUGACCUGAGCCGAAGGCAGAGGCUUUAACCCACUGAGCCACCCAGAUGCCCCAAAGUUUCUUAUUUCUUGAUUAAUGUAUUUAAAGUUAUUUCCCUCUAGAUACUGCUUUAGGUUUCUUCCACAAAUAUUAACACAAGAUGUUUUUGUUGUUUAAUUCUAAAUUGUUUAAUAUUAUUCUUGGGCAAUCCUCUCGGGGCCCCUCCCUCUUUGGGAGCUUUGUACUAGCACUUUACUAUGGCUCAAUAAACUGCUCUGUUGUGACCUAAAUAAAUAAAUAAAUAAAUAAAAUUAUUCUUAUUUUUUUUAAAAGAUUUUAUUUAUUUAUUUGUCAGAGAGAGAGCGAGCGAGAGCGAGCGUACGCAGACAGAGUGGAAGGCAGAAUCAGAGGGAGAAGCAGGCUCCCUGCGGAGCAAGGAGCCCGAUGUGGGACUCAAUCCCAGGACGCUGGGACCAUGACCUGAGCCGAAGGCAGCUGCUUAACCAACUGAGCCACCCAGGCAUCCCAAUUAUUCUUAUUUUGUUCAGAACUAAAGAAGAUGGCUCAGCAUUAUUCUUUCAGGAGCCAUUGUAUAUCUUCUUCUGGUUUUGUGUAUUCAACCAGGAACAAGUCUUGUUUUUGAAACUCUGAGGACACAAGCCAUUUACAUGUUACUGUCUUCUGCUAUACAGUUCUUUGCUUUGCUUCCUUUCCCUUUUUAGAUUAUUGGACUCAUUUCCAGACUCCCUAUUUUUCUUGUUUCCUUGUCCAAUUCUUCCUUCUGAUGUAUCUAAUUUAGGCUCAUUAUACUUGGAUAGUACCAGAUGUUCCAAAAUUUUUUUUUAAGAUUUUAUUUAUUUGACAGACAGAAACCACAAGUAGGCAGAGAGGCAGAGAGAGAGGGGGAAAGCAGGCUCCCUGCCGAGCAGAGAGCCUGAUGCAGGGCUCAAUCCCAGGACCCUGGGAUCAUGACCUGAGCCGAAGGCAGAGACUUAACCCACUGAGCCACCCAGGUGUCCACAGAUGUUCCAAAUUUGACUUUUUAUACUGUCAAAAUUCCCAGUUGCUUAAUCAUCUACAUUUGAGUUAGCCACUGCCCCAGAAGUGAUCAUAUAGGAUUUGAAAGACUUGCCAUUUAAACAAAUUUUCCUAGGCAUCAUUCUUUGUGUUAGCAAGGCUACUUAGUGACUUUGUUACUGUCAUAUGUAACUACUUAAAAUUGGCCAAAAGAUGUUAUUUGUUAUUUGUGAAAUGCUCAGGUAAUAUUUGACUUCCAAAAUGUAUAUACUUUUCCAUAGAGGUAUUAAUAUAAUAGUACUAAUUUGAAUUGCGUUAUUUUCUUCCUUUAGAUAAGGCAGGUUUAUAGUGAAUCUACCAUAUGAGCCCGUGGAUGGAGCCAACCAAUCUGUGGUGUCUGGGUUUGUGUUCCUGAAAGUCUCCAGUUCCAAGGAGAUCCAGUGUCUUUUCACUUUCUUAUGUGUGUGUGAGUGUGUGUGUUUAUGUGAGAGCGCACGCAUGUGUGGUUUUUUCUUUCGUGUCUAGUAUGAGGGUAGACUUCUUCAUAAUGGUCUCUGUGACCUCGGACCCUUACACUCCCCUCUGUAUUUUCUCUCAGGCAAUCUCUCUAUCUGAUUGAUAUGACCAAUCUCUCUAUCUGAGCUGAUAUUUUGCUCCAUUGCAGUACCCAUGAUAAUUUGUGAUCUUUUUUCAAGAAGUCAUCUCCUUUGGGGGCUCUGAAGCUCAGCCAUGCUGUUGGAGGAAACAUUUGCUGUUCAUAACCAUGGCCUUUGACUGAUAUAAGGCCAUGUGUAAGCCUCUCCACCACCUGACCAUCAUGAGUCCAUGAAUGUGCAUUUUUAUUUUACUAUUUUUAUUUAUUUUUAAAAAAUCAUAUGGUCCUUUUUAUUUUUUUAAAGAUUUUAUUUAUUUAGGGCGCCUGGGUGGCUUAGUGGGUUAAGCCGCUGCCUUCGGCUCAGGUUAUGAUCUCAGGGUCCUGGGAUCGAGUCUCGCAUUGGGCUCUCUGCUCAGCAGGGAGCCUGCUUCCCUCUCUCUCUCUCUGGCUCUCUGUCUACUUGUGAUUUCUCUCUGUCAAAUUAAUAAAUAAAAUCUUUUAAAAAAAAGAUUUUAUUUAUUUAUUUGACAGAGAGAGACAUAGUGAGAGAGGGAACACAAGCAGGGGGAGUGUGAGAGGAAGAAGCAGACUUCCUGCUGAGAGGGGAGCCUGAUGUGGGGCAAGAUCCCAGGACCCUGGGAUCAUGACCUGGGUGGAAGGCAAAUGCUUAUGACUGAACCACCCUGGCGCCCAUGGGCAUUUUUAUUUUAGUGGUUGCCUGGACCAUUGGUCUUAUUUGCUCAUUUGUCCAUUUGGAUUCUGUGAUAGACUUGUCCUUCUGUAGCCCUUAACAUAUUAGACAGCUUUUACUCUGACAUACCUUGGCUCGUCAAAUUUGCCUUCACAGAUACUUAUAACUGAAGUUCAUGGUCACUACUAAUAGUGGGUUCAUUUAACUUGGUUGCUUUCUUCUUGCUCACCCUUUUACACCUCCAUCCUGGCCACUCUGCAGAAACACUCCUCAGUGCUCCGAGACUCCUUUUACUCAGCCAGCUCACAUCACUGUGUGAUUUUAUUUUUUGCCCACUGACUUGUUUUUCCGUCCAUGUGAUCCUGUCCUUCAAUACAUCUGGAUAAACUUCUACCUGUAUUUGAUGUAGUUUUAAUUCCUUUUCUAAAUCUAGUCACCUACACAUAUGCACAUUCAGAAACAGAGAUGAAGAUGGCAAUGAGGAGAGGAUUCAGUUUAUGAGUUUUAGAAAGAAAGAUUGCUAAAUGGCUUUAUUGAAACUUCUGGAUGACUAUUAAUAAAUCUUCCUCAUGAAGAAGAGACCACCUUUCUCAGAUACUAGUUUUUUCUUUCAUUUGGAACAUAUUUCUCUCUUUCUUCAUUUUGCUUGACUCUCUGUGUUGGUCUCUAUGUCCUAGAUAAAAUGUGCACCUCUUCCGGUCUUGAAGGAGGAGACUCAGAGGAAAUGAACCUGAUUGUUCAAUCGUGCCCUACCUCUCAGUGGUCUCUCAAAACUUUAUGAUUAUUCAAGCAGCCUAUUUUGUUUUUAAUAUCAACCAGUAGUUGAGGAUAUACCAAGACCUGUCGGUGUUGCAAAGCCAGAUCCUCAGGGAUCAGCUUUUAAAGUAUGCAAAUAUAGACGGUCCAGUGGGACUGCAAGCCUAAACUCUGUGAACCACGAGUGUCAGGCCAUCUAGAGUUGUCCCCUGGGCAGCAGCUACAAAUAUCGGGACUCCAGAUCAGUGCAUAAGCUCCGGUCUGGGAUAUAACGGUAAGCUGUAGCAAGGCGGUGGGAGAGCACAAAGAUGGAGUGCACCAGCCUACAUUCUUUGAGAGCAUGAGAGCAGAGGGAUCUGAUGGGGUUUGAGAGUCAAACCUAAAGCCCAUCUCUUAGGCGUAAACUUUAGGGCAAGCAAAUAAGCUUUUUUUCCCCCAAACAGAAAAGACAGGUCUGUCAGUCUGUGCUGUGCCCUGGGCAUGGUACCCUGCCAAGAAUGAUUUCCCGGAUUGUUAAAGCCCCAGAGGACCCAGGAGUCCAGCAGCACUCCCUUCAACCCCCCGCAGCCACCAGAGCCUGAUCAAGGGGCAUCUCCUCCGCGCAGCCGCAAUGACCCGCGCAGCCGCAGUGACCCCCGCACCGCACGCAGGAUAAAGCUGCCGGCGGAGAGAGACCCGCAGGCAAGCUGAGGCUCAGGGGAGGGCGCCCAACACAGCUCCCACGGCCAGCAGGUCCCCUCCCUGGUGAGGCCCCCAGCAAGUGCCCGAAUGGGUGUCAAAUUACAUGCCUGCCCCUCGGGCUCAAGCUCUGAGACAAGUGAAAGCAAAGGAACAUCUCCCACGCGGAGUCUGGACGGCCCUCGCGGCUCAAGAAGCUGCUUCAGCGCCUACCACUGAGGCGGAGAGGAAAGGAAGGAGGAACAGUGGGAGAGGGAGAGAGAGAAUCUUAAGUGGGUACAACACCAAGUAUAUGAGUCUGACCUGGGGCUUGAUCUCACAAUCCUGAGAUCAAGGAGAUCUCUGAGAGGAAGUCAAGAGUCAGUGGCCUAACUGACUGAGAUACCGAGGUGCCCCUGGCUAUUUUUCUUAAAACUGCCUUAAACAUCCCUGUCAAAACCCCACCCAUUUUUUUCAAAGAAAUGGAACAAAUAAUCCUAACAUUUAUAUGGAACCAGAAAAGACUUCGAAUCACCAAAGGAAUAUUGAAAAAGAAAGCCAAAGUUGGUGGCAUCACAAUUCCGGACUUCAAGUUCUAUUACAAAGCUGUCAUCAUCAAGACAGCAUGGUACUGGCAUAAAAACAAUGGAACAGAAUAGAGAGCCCAGAAAUAGACCCUCAACUCUAUGGUCAACUAAUCUUCGACAAAGCAGGAAAGAAUGUCCAAUGGAAAAAAGCCUCUUCAAUAAAUGGUGUUGGGAAAAUUGGACAGCCACAUGCAGAAAAAUGAAACUGGACCAUUUCCUUACACCACACACGAAAAUAGACUCAAAAUGGAUGAAGGACCUCAGUGUGAGAAAGGAAUCCAUCAUAAUCCUUGAGGAGAACACAGGCAGCAACCUCUUCAACCUCAGCCGCAGCAACUUCUUCCUAGGAACAUUGCCAAAGGCAAGGGAAGCAAGGACAAAAAUGAACUAUUGGGAUUUCAUCAAGAUCAAAAGCUUUUGCACAGCAAAGGAAACAGUUAACAAAAUCAAAAGACAACUGACAGAAUGGGAGAAGAUACUUGCAAAUGACAUAUCAGAUAAAGGGCUGGUGUCCAAAAUCUAUAAAGAACUUAGCAAACUCAACACCCAAAGAACAAAUAAUCCAAUCAAGAAAUGGGCAGAGGACAUGAACAGACAUUUCUUUAAAGAAGACAUCCAGAUGGCUAAAAGACACAUGCAAAAAUGCUCCACAUCUCUCAGCAUCAGGGAAAUACAAAUUGAAACCACAAUGAGAUACCAUCUCACACCAGUCAGAAUGGCUAAAAUUAACAAGUCAGGAAAUGCCAGAUGCUGGAAGGAUGUGGAGAAAGGGGAACCCUCCUACACUGUUGGUGGGAAUGCAAGCUGGUGCAACCACUCUGUAAAACAGCAUGGGGUUUCCUCAAAAAGUUGAAAAUAGAGCUACCGUAUGACCCGGCAAUUGCACUACUGGGUAUUUACCCUAAAGAUACAAAUGUAGUGAUCCGAAGGGACACGUGCACCCAUAUGUUUACAGCAGUAAUGUCUACAAUAGCCAAACUAUGGAAAGAACCUAGAUAUCCAUCAACAGAUGAAUGUAUAAAGGAGAUGUAUGUAUGUAUACAAUGGAAUACUAUGCAGCCAUCAAAAGAAAUGAAAUUUUGCCAUUUGUGGUGAUGUGGAUGGAACUAGAGGGUAUUAUGCUUAGCGAAAUAAGUCAAUCAGAGAAAGAUAACUAUCAUAUGAUCUCCCUGAUAUGAGGAAGUGGAGAUGCAACAUGGGGGGUUUCGGGGGUAGGAAAAGAAUAAAUGAAACAAGAUGGGAUUGAGAGGGAGACAAACCAUAAGAGACUCUUAAUCUCACAGAACAAACUGAGGGUUGCCGGGAGGAGGGGGAUCGGGAGAGGGUAGUGGGGUUAUGGACACUGGGGUGGGUGUGUGCUGUGGUGAGUGCUGUGAAGUGUGUAAACCUGGCGAUUCACAGACCUGUACCCCUGGCGAUAAAAAUAUAUGUUUAUAAAAAAAAUUUUUUUUAAAUAAAAAAGAUGAAAAAAAAAAACUGCCUUAAACACCCACAUAGUACAAACUUGUACUUAUCUUUCUUUACCUCAUGAAUGAGGCUUGGCUUUGCCCUUGGCUUUAUCAUAAAAAUAAAAAAAAAAAAAAAGAAAGAAAA